CGCUGGCGGCGUGCCUAAUACAUGCAAGUCGAACGAACGGAGGAAGAGCUUGCUCUUCCAAAGUUAGUGGCGGACGGGUGAGUAACACGUGGGCAACCUGCCUGUAAGUUGGGGAUAACUCCGGGAAACCGGGGCUAAUACCGAAUGAUAGAGUGUGGCGCAUGCCACGCYYUUGAAAGAUGGUUUCGGCUAUCGCUUACAGAUGGGCCCGCGGUGCAUUAGCUAGUUGGUAGGGUAAUGGCCUACCAAGGCAACGAUGCAUAGCCGACCUGAGAGGGUGAUCGGCCACACUGGGACUGAGACACGGCCCAGACUCCUACGGGAGGCAGCAGUAGGGAAUCUUCCGCAAUGGACGAAAGUCUGACGGAGCAACGCCGCGUGUAUGAAGAAGGUUUUCGGAUCGUAAAGUACUGUUGUUAGAGAAGAACAAGGAUAAGAGUAACUGCUUGUCCCUUGACGGUAUCUAACCAGAAAGCC
Molecule: ribosomal RNA, 477 nt
Filed under: Listeria innocua
Lineage: Bacteria; Bacillati; Bacillota; Bacilli; Caryophanales; Listeriaceae
Description: bacterial SSU rRNA
Rfam family: Bacterial small subunit ribosomal RNA
Source: RNAcentral